This is a long non-coding RNA of Peromyscus californicus insignis, 8556 nucleotides long. RefSeq lists it as uncharacterized. The transcript has 7 exons. The record is from RefSeq and is a predicted model, not a curated record. Lineage: Eukaryota; Metazoa; Chordata; Mammalia; Rodentia; Cricetidae.
UCUGUCAAAUUUUCUUUUCUGACUAGUGACCGGCUUCACGAGGCUUAUUUCUCUCUUGGCGUUUCUCCUUUUUCUGAGUAACUUUUGAUGCUCCCUCCAAUGUGACUUUACACAGAGGGUCCAAGAUGCCCCAGGGCAAGGGAACUUUUCUGGAAGGCUCUUUUCUGCAGCCAAGGGUGGGAAGGCUUGGAGGCUUUCAUGAGUCUGUAGGUCCUUCAAACUGGAAUUGAGGGAUGGGUUUUUCUCUUUGAGAACUGCUAUAUUCUUUUAUUGUCGUACUCAUAAAUAUUUUACAAUGUUUCUUUGAUGCCUCAGUUGGAGUUUGAAUGUGUUUAGGGUCUUGUAUAUUGUCUUAAUCUGUGGUCUGUUGUUACAACAGACUUCCCGAGACUGGGAAAGUCACAAAGAAGAGAGUUCGGGGCUCACGGUUCCAGAGAUGGAGAAGGUCUGGGUGAAGCAAUGGUGUCUACUAACGAAGGCCUCAAGCUGCUUCAAAUUAAGAUUCAGUUCAUGGCCCCCCCUUCUAGGAAACUUUCCAGGAAGGUCACUCUCCCAUUCAAUAUAACAGUUUCUUGAGGGAGGAGGCUAUUUCAACUCAUCUUCAUAUUCCCACCGUAAUGUCUACUGCAUGGAAGAACAAUGGAGAAAUGUUUCAAAGCAAAGUUUAAAACUUGAAGAGAAACUGGAGACUGUGGCGGGGAGGAAACAGCCGGAGUAGUCAGGAAGCUAACACAGCCUGGAAGAUGGCGGCCUUUCUUGGUCAAGUGAAUGGAAUGGAUCGGAGUCAUGGUGGGCAGGAUCACUCCAGGACGUGAGAACAAGGAAGGGAGUGAUGCUUUCUGACAGAGAGCUGCUGCUUGGGGAAGGAAAUGAAAAGAUUCCUAGAAUGGACAAUAGAAUUCUACUGGUCUUCAGUGAAGGGAAUGAAAGGAUUUAUGACUUAAACAUACACUUUAAUGAAUGACAGACAUUCGGAAAAGCGCAUGAGCAGAAAAAGAUACACCUCUCACGGACAGAAGCCCUCCCGGUCUUUGUUGGUGCCUUUUACACAGUUUCACAAGACCCAUAAGCUUGUCAUAUUCCUAUCAGAGGUACUGGGGGUAAGGAAUUACUUUUUGGUGAUCCCAGUAAGUUUUUUAAAUAGAUAAACAGUUUUUAAAGAACGAAAGAGAAAAUGGCAGGAUGCAUCACAAGCAGGACAGGUAUGUUCCCUGAAUAUUUUGAGUGUUUAUGUCUAUUAUGCACACACUGAGUGAAAUACUAUAUUUUCAGGGACCAUUUCUACAGCUCAUUACUGAGUGUGAUAUAGAUGUAGUUAUCAUCAUAAAAAGUUCUGAAAGCUACCGAGUAUGACAUUUUAAUGAAAGCACAAUGUUAUUUUAAGUGUUUUAUUUGGGGGCCAAAGAGGAACUCCUGGGCUUCUGUGAUCCUUUUGCCUCAGCCUCUGAGCUUGUAUGGGCCGGAGUACAGGUGUUUGCCCUGUGGACAUCGGGUAAUUACUAGAGGUCUUGUGGACAUGGAUCAACUAUAAGAUCAGUUAGGAAUAUACACUUCUUUAUCCCCACUCAAGAACUUUCAAAACAGAAUAGGGAUUCCCAUGAUCUUUCUGCAGGCAAGGGAGAAAUGGUAGUAUCUUCCAGUAAACACACACACACACACACACACACACACACACACACACACACACACACACACACACACGUUGAACCACAUGGCCAUUCUUGAAUCUAUUACUGACAGGGGAUGGCAUUACACAGACUAAUCAGGCUAUUCCUUGGAAGUGUAAUCAGCCAUUCUUGGGCUCAUGCCUAGGUGGGAGGAAAGGGGGAAAAAAAAAGAAAGAAGGAAGACACUUUGUGCAAUAAGCAAUCAACAGCAUUCACUGUAUUUAAAACUUGUAAAAUCUUGAGUACCAUAUCCUCCUAGUGGAUUUGACAUUGAACUUUUUCAUCAUGAAAACAGUCUCACCUUUGGAAACAUUGGUCAUUUCCCUAAUUGUAGGAGAAUGCCUCUGGAAGUCCUUAAAACACAGCAAAGAAGGCAAGCACACAGGCUUCUAUUUUUGGUGCACUUUACCACCAAAAGAAAUUUCAACUUUUCCUGAAAGUAAUAGGCUGUAUUCACUACCAGAGAGACAACAGCAGCGAGUGACCUGUGUUGUAACAAGCCCAUGUCGGAGAGGAGCAGUCACCAUCAUGCAGGGCUUUGAUUCUCUCUCCGAUCCCUUCCUCCACUUGGAAGUUGCCCUUCAGCACUAUGCCUGGGUGUACUUGCCAACUUUCUGCAUCAUGACACAAAGACAUUGCUGGCUAGGAUCAUUGUGGUCUGAGGAACAGCAAGCGUGAAGCCAGCCAGGCUUCCAUGAAAUGCACACUGUUUGCGGAAUGGCCAUGCCGUUUUGAAAGUUCCCUUUAUGAAAGGCUAGCAUAAAGUCAACAGCCCACAGUUGCUCAAAUCCGUGCUUUGGUUUCAUUACCACGGCAGACCACUUCCCUGCUCAGGAGAAUUAUAGUUAAGUUGUGUUUUUAACUAUGUCCCUAGGGGAGUGUUGAGUAAGAUGAAAAACAGGCUGGGCCACCGAUAAAUCAUUUCUGGAAAAGGAGGCAUUUCAGGAAAAUUAAACAAAGCGUAGAAAAGCCUUAGCUUGCACUUUGUUGUUACAGAAUUGAGUGAUAGCUUUCCUCCGUACUUAGACUAAUCCUGAGCAGGAAGCUGCAAAUGGGGGAAAAUCCUGUCCAGAGUACAGAAGAGAGCAGACAAUCAUUGUCCUUUUAAACAAAACUUCGGUGGCUAGUUCUUUAACCCUGUCCACCUGCUCUGAUAAUUGGUAGAAGUUCUAUAAUGAUGACCAGAUACCUCCACAAGGGUGGAACACAAAUUUUCAAAGGUGCUCCAAAACUCAGUUACUUUCCAAAACAGUUACCUUCCCUUGUGCCCUGGCUACAAUGUGCAGGUAAAUUGCUCUCCCUGGGAUCUUUGAGGAAGAUAAGGAGCAUGGGAAAACAGGGCAUGUAGCUCCUUCAGCUGAUGUUAGGAAAUACUUGCUGAGGGUUGAAAGUCAUACUUCUCCUGUGGGCCCUUGUGAUUUUAGAGUGGUAAAUCGUGUUGUGGUCUUUCUAACUUUUCUUUGGUACACAAAUCCAGCACCCUGUUGUCUACUAAUUGCUGCUGUCAUAAUCCCACAACAAUGUCAGCCCAAAUUCAUUACCAGAGCUCAUUUCUGGCUGCCUCCAUAGCAACCAUCUGAGGACAUUAUAUGACUUUCCCCAUGAGCCCAUGAUGAACAAAAGCACAUUGUCAUUUCUUUUAUUUUUAACAGUUGCCUACCCCACAUGUUAAGGAACUGGACAGAAUUCAGAAAGUAUUUUUCAUCUGGAAAGACAAAUAAUCAACCAGGUCAAAGGUUAGGGCUGUUCCUUUAAAUGCCUUACUGACAUUAUCUUACUUUGAAGACUUAUUCCUGUCGUUCACCUUGAAUAAAUCUCUGUGUUCUCUCAGCUUCUAUUUUAUACUUUGCAAAAUAUUGACAGGAUGAGUACAUUAUUAUUUUUAAAAUAGUAUUUUUUUAAAUUCUUUGAGAACUUUAUACCAUAUAUUUUUGUUAUAUUGCUCCCCCAGCUUUUCCCAUAUCCAUCCUCUCUACCCUAGCCUCCCUACCCACUCAACUUUUGGGUUUUCUACCCAUCCUUGUCCACACUGAGUCCAGUUUAUGUUGCUCAACUAUCUUGGGAGAGAGGCCUGCCCUGGAGUGGGGUUCACCUACCUGGAGUCACUUCACCAAAGAAAGUUCACUCUCCCUCUCCCAGAAGCUAAUAGCUCUUCAGCUAGUGGUGGGAUUGAGUCUGGUUGGAGCUUGUGCAAACCUUGCGCAGGCUGUCAAGUUCCAUAACUGCCCUGUUGUGUCUGGAAACUACUGUUUCUGAAGUCAUCCUCCACCUCUGGCUCUCACGAUCCUUCCACGCCAUCAUUAGUGUCCGUCCCUGAACCUUGUGGGGAGGGGUAUGAUACAGACCUCCCAUUUAGGGCUGAGCACUCCAGUCUCUCACUCUUCAUAUUGACCUGUUGAAGGUCUCUGUCAACUGCCAUUGACUGCAAGAAGAAGCUUCUCUGAUGAGAGUUGAGGGAUGCACUGAUCUGUGGGCACAGCAGAAAGUCAUUUUAAUACCCAGCCCAUUUAACAGGAUAAUAGUAGUAGGUUCUCCCAUAAGGCCCAUGACCUACUUAGCCACAGCUCUUGGCCCUGUAAAUAGUGCCAGGAAUGGGUUCCAUCUCAUGGACUGGGCUUUAGGUUUGAUCAGAAGCUGAUUGGUUGUGAGUACAUUUUUAGAUCAGAUGGGCAUGGAUAUAUGUGACUAAAUAAUCAUUUUGAUACAGAGAUUUGAGAAUAAUUUAAAAUUUCAAAGUCUCCUUGGCAGGGCAUUAAUUCUAUGAGGUAAAUGCUGUUAUUCAGCUCGUGUGGCUGUUGAGAAAGCAUGCAGCAAAUAAGUAGUACAGGCAGGACUCGAACCCAGGCAGUGAAUCCGCUGCUGUUCUCCGAGAGGAGCCUGGCACAGGACAGAGCCCACUGUACAGAAGGACUCUGCCUGACCCUGACGUUUUCUGAGUUCUUUCAGUGGCAAGAAGCUUUAUUCAUUUCUGUUGUGCUCAAAUUAGCUUUGGAUUAUUUUAUCCACACAAAAUGCCAGAACAGCCCAGAUUGUCCCCAUUACGGGCUAUCAUGUCUCCUGUCCCUUGUUUACAAGAAGGGUUCUGCUUGGCCUCAGCUACUCUUAGGUGAAGGCAUCUUAGGAAAAGUGAAGAGCCACAGAGGCAGAGCUUUGUAAAAUGACAAGUGUUCCAAGAAUUCAUUCUACAGCCACACACUCUUUACUUUCCUCAUUUCUGUUUGCUGAAAACAAGAACGACAAAGAAAACACUUCUUUUGUUUGUUUGUUUGUUUUGGUUUUUCAAGACAGGGUGUCUCUGUGUAGCUUUGCAUCUUUCCUGGAUCUCGUUCUGUAGACCAGGAGGGCCUCGAACACACAGAGAUCCACCUGCCUCUGCCUCCCGAGUGCUGGGAUUAAAGGCGUGCGCCACCACUGCCCAGCUUAGAAAACACUUCUUUAGAAAUACAAUUAUCUACCUGGCGGUGGUGUUGUACAGACUUAGAAAGUGCUUUAUGUGUGUAUGUUGUAUCCAAAACAUAACCACACAAAAAUGAAUGAAUGGAAGAUGUAGCUUUUCAAUGAAUAUCUUAUGUAAAUCAAAAGAAUGGAAAAGACUAAAAUACAGAUUCCAUUACGAGCUUCAUGUUGGCUCUGUGUGCAUGAGUCUGGGAUGUGUGUGUGUGUGUGUGUGUGUGUGUGUGUGUGUGUGUGUGUGUGUUCAGGCACAUGUGUAUGUAUGUGUUUGCAUGCAUGGAGUCCAGAGUUUAAAUAUUGGAUAUCUUUCUCAAUCAUCAAUCAUUUUUCCAACUUAUUUCUUUCUUUCUUUUCUUUUUUUCUUUUUAUUUUUUGAGACAGGGUUUCUCUAUGUAGAUUUGGAUGUCCUAGAACUCACUCUGUAGACCAGGCUGGUCUUGAACUCACAGAGAUCCACCUUCCUCUGCUUCCUGGGUGCUGGGAUUAAAGGCAUACACCACCACUGCCCAGCUUCACCUUAUUUCUUAAGGCAGGGCUUCUCACCGAACCUGGAGCUCACUAAUUCAGCUAGACUAGCUGUCUAGGAAGCCUCAGGGAUCUUUCUGUCUCAGCCUCCCCAGCCCUGGGUGUAUGCUGCUUUGUCUGGGUUUUUCACAUGGCUGCUGGGGAUGCGUACUUCAGUCCUCACACUUGUAUGGAAGUACAUGUUCCCCAGUCAUGUUCCCAGCCUUUUAUGGCGGCUUUUAAACGGUGGGUUUCCAGGCAGUCUAAAUAGUGACCCUGCAGAGCCAAUAAAAGUCUUUCUGAGGAGAAAACCAGAGCAAGAAGAGAGUUGGAAGUAGGCUUGUAGACCACAGGGUGGCAGGGAGAAACAUGGUCUGGGAAGAGGAGCCUUCUCAUCUCAUGAAAAGAAGAACCGAAGUGAAAGUCUCCACAUGGUGGGAAGAUGACAGACUUCCUAGGUCCUAGGGUUUGGCUGUGAGUUCUGAGCAGCAGAAACAGGAAGGAAGUGGCUCUGUACUGCAUCUGGCUUCUUAGGAAACCUCGAGAUGGGGCACAGGCUAAGCCCAGCCUUCUCCCGCCUCCCCAUCUCCCUCAUGGAAUCUUGAAACAUGUUGAGUUUUCCGGAAAAGAAACGGAAAUUUCCAGCACCCAAUGGUAAAGAAAAAAUGACCACCACCCAAAUAGACAGUUCUGGGUGGCAGAGACCUGUCUGGCCUCCUUUGUGAGAACCUGGAGCACGAAGUUGCUCGGGGAAGAUUUGUCGAACAAACACUGCUGGGCCCGAUUAUUGAGAGCAGUCAGAGAAAUAAUUGGGAGUUUUUUCUGCUUUUCAUAUGAACAAUGAUGACAGAAAAGAAGGACAAGAAGGGAGAGAGAGAGUGCUCGAGAACAAGAGAGAGAGAGAGAGAGAGAGAAGGGGAAGGAGAGGCAGGGGGAGGAGCAGAAUGGGAAGAUAGAGAUCAUUCCUCAUCUGUUAUGACAACUGAGUUAUUUUUGUUCAUAUCUAUUUUGUGUUUGUGACUUCUUGCAAGAAAGAUGUCAGAUGACUAUGAUGAAAUAGUCAUGUGCUUUAUGUGGUGUGUGUGUGUGUGUGUGUGUGUGUGUGUGUGUGUGUGUGUGUGUGACUGUUCUGAUUGACAUAGCUCUAUCACGUCAUGAGGCUGUAUCUGUGUCUGUGUUUGAGGUUGACUUUAAUUCUUCAGCUCUGCUCAAAUGGCUUUCCUACUUCUCCCAAUUCAGUAGUAAGUAUUUAAAGUUAUAAGAAGCAGGAUCAGCUCACAAACAAAACAGCCCAUUCCUGCCUAAUAACACAGCUUAGUAAUAAUAAGAGCAAGACAAUCUGGGAAGGCCACUCCCCUUCAGAAAUCUUAGGACAUCUAAAUUGGGAGUUGGUAAUCUUGUAAACAAAUUCAAAUUACCUUCCAGCAAAACCCCAAACUACUUGUUUGAGAUGGUUUUUGGCUACAAGAUGCGAAUCCAGAUCAAAAUCAAAAGCCACAUACAUACUAAAAUAGCCAAAACAGAGACAUAGUCAUUACAGGAAACUCAUGAAGCUUCAAAGGAGGUUUAAAAAAGGAAAAGCUGCAGCCAGAGGAGUCGGUGGCAUUGCCCGUCUGUACUGGAAAUGUCGACAUCCUCUGCAGAGGAAGAGGAAGGAGUUGAGGUGCCAGACAAGCAGCUGGACAUGACAAAACAGGAAACGGACCGCUGAUGACAGCGCAACCGCAAACCGGGAAGAGCAGAGCAUCAAAGCCACGGCCCGUCGGAAACACCGGCAAGGACAAAGUGAAAGCUGCGAGGCUCAGAAUCACUAUGACUCUAGAUGGUGUCCAGUUGAACAACAACAACAACAAAAACAAAAAACAAAAAAACAAAACAAAACAAAAAACCCAACACAAGCAAUGGAUUUAAGGACAGACUUGGAUGCUCCUCAGCUCUGUGUGACAUCACUGCUCAGUCAUAUCCCUCGGGAACAGCUGCUCAGAGCGACAGGGUCUGAAGACACAGAUUCCAAAUGCAUGGAAAGGCUGACAAAUACUCACGGAUAAGAUCCACGUACAGUACCAAGGAGAGUCCGCUCAGUGCACAGUGCCACGGAAGUGACAAAUUGGAACGCACAUUGUGUGGCAACCAUGGAAGGACAUUCUUAUUUUUUGAAGAAAAUCCAGAAAUGUUUUAAUAUUUUUAUGCUGUUGUUCAUGUCAAAAUGCCUUCUGGCACAAGACCAUUGAGGGAUGGGCAGCUGACAGCUUAGUUCCAUGUGGAACCAGAAUGUCUAGAUGGCUAUAAUUUAAUUUGAUUUAAACUAAAGGGGUUUGGGCAUAUAUACAUAAGAUACUUGUUACAUCAUGUUACAUUUUAGAGAAUAAACUGACAUAAAUACUUAAAAUAUUAAACAAAAACUCACCUGGCAGAUAACUUUUUACUAAAUCAGAUACUCUUAUAAAUAUAUUAUAAAAAUGAUUUUUAUUUUUGUUCAGUGCUUGGAAUUGAACCCAGGGCUGAGCGCAUGCUUGGCAAGUACCCCACCGUGGAACCACACCCCAGCUUAUGAAUCAAUUCAAACAAUACACAUUCCCUCUGAGGAAGGGUGCUCUGUUCCUGGAGGUACUGCAAGAGCAGGUUGAUUCAUGGAGCAGACAAAGCAAGUUCCUAUUCCACCUCCUGUUUCCAAAGAAUCUAUUUAAUAUACUAUCCUUGGAUAGAGGACAUAUCAGAUAUUAAGCUGGUAAAAACAGAUAACAUUUUUUUCCUCUUAAGUAUAUCACAGAGAAGUGACCCCCAACUCACAAGCUUCUUUUUUGUUUGUUUAUUUGCUUUUUUUUUUUUUAGACAGAAUCCCCAUCUGUCCUGGAACUCACUCUGUAGACCAGGCUGGCCUGGAACUCACAGAGAUCUGCCUGCCUCUAUCUGGGAUUAAAGAUGUAUACCA